GCUCACGGUAGGGUAAGCCGCCUCUCAGUGGGGGCGGCGGCGGUUCGAAUCCGCUCGUGAGCG
RNAcentral lists this transfer RNA (63 nucleotides) under Caudoviricetes sp. RNAcentral describes it as "tRNA-OTHER". The record is from RNAcentral. Lineage: Duplodnaviria; Heunggongvirae; Uroviricota; Caudoviricetes.